ACUCCUACGGGAGGCAGCAGUGGGAAUAUUGCACAAUGGGCGCAAGCCUGAUGCAGCCAUGCCGCGUGUGUGAAGAAGGCCUUCGGGUUGUAAAGCACUUUCAGCAGUGAGGAAAGGUGGGUAUGUUAAUAGCAUACNCAUUUUGACGUUAGCUGCAGAAGAAGCACCGGCUAACUCCGUGCCAGCAGCCGCGGGUAAUACGGAGGGUGCGAGCGUUAAUCGGAAUUACUGGGCGUAAAGCGCGUGUAGGUGGCUUGUUAAG
Molecule: ribosomal RNA, 262 nt
Filed under: uncultured bacterium
Lineage: Bacteria
Description: partial 16S ribosomal RNA
Rfam family: Bacterial small subunit ribosomal RNA
Source: RNAcentral